GGGGGGGUGUUCCAGGCACCCCAGUGCUUCCUGUGUCUACACCAUCUCGAAGACCAGAAUCUGGACGAUCGGGAACAAGCAAGAAGAUAGUGGUAUCCAGCAGCACGUACAUAAUCCUGCGACGUGUGAUGCGAAAGGCCGGCCUACCAACAGUCAAGCGUACCAUCCUGCAUCUUGCUAAAGGGUACCUGAGGGAACCUGGUGGUGGCGAUGGCGAUAGGGUGCACGCCGGAGGCGACAAUGUGGGUAGCGAUGGCGACACGGGUGACGCUGCGCACUUGGCCAUGCCGAGAACAUCACGGACGUUUCAUUCGCCGAU
Pollicipes pollicipes is the source of this 319-nucleotide long non-coding RNA. RefSeq lists it as uncharacterized. The record is from RefSeq and is a predicted model, not a curated record. The transcript has 3 exons. Lineage: Eukaryota; Metazoa; Arthropoda; Thecostraca; Pollicipedomorpha; Pollicipedidae.